CUCUCGGAAGCCUAUGCAACCCUAACGGGGUCCGCGACUAUAAAUACUGGAUGCAAGUAGCUGUAAGCUGCAACAUAAUCGAAUUGCGGGGAAAUCUUAAAGCCUACCGGUACCAACACUCUCGGGAAACCCUGAGUGGGCCUAUGCUAAUCACAUAGGGGGUCAAAAUCUGGUGGGAUGCUACAAUAGAUAAUCCGCAGCGAAGCCCCUAACGGUGAAAGCCUACGGGGAACGUCCACAGACUAAGUGGUUAUGGGUAGAGGAAUCUGCUUAAGAUAUAGUCGGUCUCCCCUGGAAACCCGGGAGGUUUUAGCGUUCCGUAGGUGAACCUGCGGAAGGAUCAUUACAGAGUUCAUGCCCUUCGGGGUAGAUCUCCCACCCUUGUAUAUUAUAAAUAUCUGUUGCUUUGGCGGACCGCAAGCCUGCUUGCCUGGGGAAACCUAGUGUGUCCGCCAGAGGAUCACCAAACUCUGAAUUUUUGUCGUCUGAGUACUAUAAAAUAGUUAAAACUUUCAACAACGGAUCUCUUGGUUCUGGCAUCGAUGAAGAACGCAGCGAAAUGCGAUAAGUAAUGUGAAUUGCAGAAUUCAGUGAAUCAUCGAAUCUUUGAACGCACAUUGCGCCCCUUGGUAUUCCGGGGGGCAUGCCUGUUCGAGCGUCAUUAUAACCAAUCCAGUUUACUGGGUCUUGGGCCUCGCGGUUCCGCGGGCCUUAAAACUAGUGGCGGUGCUCUUAGGCUCUACGCGUAGUAACUUUCUCGCUAUAGAGUCCUGAGGGAUGCUUGCCAACAACCUCAAAUUUUCUAGG
Molecule: small RNA, 807 nt
Filed under: Lachnum rhytismatis
Lineage: Eukaryota; Fungi; Ascomycota; Leotiomycetes; Helotiales; Lachnaceae
Description: eukaryotic LSU rRNA
Rfam family: 5.8S ribosomal RNA (bases 508-661)
Source: RNAcentral